RNA transcript from Rhinopithecus roxellana (golden snub-nosed monkey), 1496 nucleotides. It is a transcript of the gene named PRELI domain containing 3A, with no coding region annotated. The transcript has 7 exons. The record is from RefSeq and is a predicted model, not a curated record. NCBI's taxonomy places the organism in Eukaryota, Metazoa, Chordata, Mammalia, Primates, Cercopithecidae.
UUCACCUCCCAUGAUCUUCUUGAGGGUCACCAUGUGGUAGAGUAUCAGUAUUUCAUUUCUCCCGGCAUUCAUUUUGUAUUCCUGGCACCCCCAGGGCCUGGCGCUUAGCAGGUACUCAGAAGGGGUGAGGAAUCUCACAUGGAGAUCAGAUGCCCUUCCAGGACGGGGGCAGCUAUCCACCAAAGGAAUCCUGGUCAUCCCUGGAGCUGCUGUGGACUAGCCACCCGUGGGACACGGUCAUCCAGGCGGCCAUGCGCAAGUACCCGAACCCGAUGAACCCCAGCGUGCUGGGCGUGGACGUGCUGCAGCGCCGCGUGGACGGCCGCGGCCGCCUGCACAGCCUGCGCCUGCUCAGCACCGAGUGGGGGCUGCCCGGCCUCGUGAGAGCGAUUUUGGGAACCAGUAGGACUUUGACAUACAUCCAAGAACAUUCUGUGGUGGAUCCAGUGGAAAAGAAAAUGGAACUUUGUUCCACCAAUAUCACACUCACAAAUUUGGUGUCAGUUAAUGAGAGGUUGGUGUACACACCUCAUCCAGAGAACCCAGAAAUGACCGUGCUCACACAAGAAGCCAUCAUCACCGUGAAGGGGAUUAGCCUCGGUAGUUAUUUGGAAAGUUUAAUGGCCAACACGAUAUCUUCCAAUGCAAAGAAGGGGUGGGCGGCUAUCGAGUGGAUAAUUGAGCACUCUGAAAGUGCUGUGAGCUAAGGAGGCCUGCGCCUGUGCUUGUGAUAAAUGGUGGUGAGUACAGUAUUCACUCACCCGGGGGGCCUUGCAGCCUCUUGUGACCCGUGUGCAUGGUGCACAUGGUGAGGGGACGCCGGAAAGAUGCAGCUGCUGGUGGCUCUCCAGCCCAGAGCUCCUUAGUUUUCCACGGUGACCCAGAAUCACUGGGUUCAUCUUCUUUCUAUUUCAUUCCUUGCUUUGUGGCAGGAUCUAGGUUCCAAGGCCAUUUCCUUUGAGCAGUGAAAGCCUUUUCUGAUGUCUCCUUGAGCUUCACGAACAUUGCUUGGCGUCCUGGGCUGUCAGUGGCUGGACUUCUAGGCGCCUUGCCCUGAUGACCAGCGGCCACCAGGGCCUGCUCCCCGGGGAGGAUGCGCCUCCCACCAGAGGCUGCACUGCGCUGCUCUGGGCCGCUCAUCCCCAUCUGUUCCCAUCUGUCCCCCGCGUGUGUGGCUCCGGGGAUCCUUAAGAACUUUGUGCUAUUUUGCCGGAGUCACUGAAGCCAAGCUUUGCUCUCCUUGAACCCAAGCCGGGGGCGGCCUUGGGCCUCGCCUCCUUCGUGGCCGCACCCUGGGUUCAGCGCCGAUGCUUCCCAGAAGAAAGGAAAGAAGCAGGUGAGGAGGUGAGGAGAGGACAAGCGAGGACGGGACGGAAGAGCGCGUCUGGCUGCGAGGGCGCGCAGGGCCGGGGAGGAGGAUCGGGCUGGACUCAUCGCGGGUCGCAGGUGACCCCGGGACUGGACGUCCCUCCCCUCAUGAGCGUGCAACAGGGAGC